CACCAGCGCCACGAGUGGGAACCAUAUUUAUUUGGCCUAAAGCGUCCGUAGCCGGCUUGAUAAAUCUAUUGUGAAAUCAUUGUGCUCAACGCAAUGGCGUGCAGUAGACACUGUCAAGCUUGAGACCGGAAGGAGUCAGAAGUAUUCUGUGGGGAGCGGUAAAAUGCUAUAAUCCUCAGAGGACUACCUGUGGCGAAGGCGUCUGACUAGUACGGUUCUGACGGUGAGGGACGAAAGCUAGGGGAGCGAUCCGGAUUAGAUACCCCAGUA
RNAcentral lists this ribosomal RNA (270 nucleotides) under uncultured prokaryote. RNAcentral's name for it is "partial 16S ribosomal RNA". It matches the Rfam family "Archaeal small subunit ribosomal RNA", at positions 474 to 743 of the family's 1478-position model. The record is from RNAcentral.